RNAcentral lists this ribosomal RNA (490 nucleotides) under uncultured bacterium. Its description in RNAcentral is "partial 16S ribosomal RNA". It matches the Rfam family "Bacterial small subunit ribosomal RNA", at positions 30 to 507 of the family's 1533-position model. The record is from RNAcentral.
AUUGAACGCUGGCGGCAGGCCUAACACAUGCAAGUCGAACGGUAACAGGAAGAAGCUUGCUUCUUUGCUGACGAGUGGCGGACGGGUGAGUAAUGUCUGGGAAACUGCCUGAUGGAGGGGGAUAACUACUGGAAACGGUAGCUAAUACCGCAUAACGUCGCAAGACCAAAGAGGGGGACCUUCAGGCCUCUUGCCAUCGGAUGUGCCCAGAUGGGAUUAGCUAGUAGGUGGGGUAACGGCUCACCUAGGCGACGAUCCCUAGCUGGUCUGAGAGGAUGACCAGCCACACUGGAACUGAGACACGGUCCAGACUCCUACGGGAGGCAGCAGUGGGGAAUAUUGCACAAUGGGCGCAAGCCUGAUGCAGCCAUGCCGCGUGUAUGAAGAAGGCCUUCGGGUUGUAAAGUACUUUCAGCGGGGAGGAAGGGAGUAAAGUUAAUACCUUUACUCAUUGACGUUACCCGCAGAAGAAGCACCGGCUAACUCCGUG